ACGAACGCUGGCGGCGUGCUUAACACAUGCAAGUCGAACGGAAAGGCCCCUUUGGGGGUACUCGAGUGGCGAACGGGUGAGUAACACGUGAGUAACCUGCCCUUGACUUCGGGAUAACUUCAGGAAACUGGGGCUAAUACCGGAUAGGAAUCCUUGCUGCAUGGUGGGGGUUGGAAAGCUUCGGCGGUUUUGGAUGGACUCGCGGCUUAUCAGCUUGUUGGUGGGGUAGUGGCUUACCAAGGCGUUGACGGGUAGCCGGCCUGAGAGGGCGACCGGCCACAUUGGGACUGAGAUACGGCCCAGACUCCUACGGGAGGCAGCAGUGGGGAAUAUUGCACAAUGGGCGGAAGCCUGAUGCAGCAACGCCGCGUGCGGGAUGACGGCCUUCGGGUUGUAAACCGCUUUCAGCAGGGGCGAAGCUUGUGGUGACGGUACCUGCAGAAGAAGCACCGGCUAACUACGUG
Molecule: ribosomal RNA, 464 nt
Filed under: uncultured bacterium
Lineage: Bacteria
Description: partial 16S ribosomal RNA
Rfam family: Bacterial small subunit ribosomal RNA
Source: RNAcentral